AAGCUCGUAGUUGAAUUUCGGGACCAAUUUGUUGGUCGUGCCUCGGUACGUACUGGUAUUAUUGGUUUCUCCCUUCUGAAGAACCUCGAUGCCAUUAAUUUGGUGUCGUGGGGAAUCAGGACUGUUACUUUGAAAAAAUUAGAGUGUUUAGAGCAGGCAUACGCUUGAAUACAUUAGCAUGGAAUAAUGAAAUAGGACGUUUGAUUCUAUUUUGUUGGUUUCUAGGAUCGACGUAAUGAUUAAUAGGGAUAGUUGGG
RNAcentral lists this ribosomal RNA (257 nucleotides) under uncultured Glomeromycotina. Its description in RNAcentral is "partial 18S ribosomal RNA". It matches the Rfam family "Eukaryotic small subunit ribosomal RNA", at positions 624 to 886 of the family's 1831-position model. Lineage: Eukaryota; Fungi; Glomeromycota. The record is from RNAcentral.